RNAcentral lists this ribosomal RNA (253 nucleotides) under uncultured bacterium. RNAcentral describes it as "partial 16S ribosomal RNA". It matches the Rfam family "Bacterial small subunit ribosomal RNA", at positions 524 to 776 of the family's 1533-position model. The record is from RNAcentral.
UACGUAGGGGGCAAGCGUUGUCCGGAAUCAUUGGGCGUAAAGGGCGCGUAGGCGGCUUGGCAAGUGGAUGGUGAAAUCCCUCGGCUUAACCGAGGAACUGCCGUCCAAACUGCUUCGCUUGAGACCGGGAGAGGUGAGUGGAAUUCCCAGUGUAGCGGUGAAAUGCGUAGAUAUUGGGAGGAACACCAGUGGCGAAGGCGGCUCACUGGACCGGUACUGACGCUGAUGCGCGAAAGCGCGGGGAGCAAACAGG